RNAcentral lists this ribosomal RNA (253 nucleotides) under uncultured bacterium. RNAcentral describes it as "partial 16S ribosomal RNA". It matches the Rfam family "Bacterial small subunit ribosomal RNA", at positions 524 to 776 of the family's 1533-position model. The record is from RNAcentral.
UACGGGGGGGGCAAGCGUUGUUCGGAAUUACUGGGCGUAAAGGGCGCGUAGGCGGUUUGCUAAGUUGGAUGUGAAAACUCUGGGCUUAACCCAGAGCCUGCAUCCAAAACUAGCAGGCUAGAGUUCUGGAGGGGAUAGCGGAAUUCCUGGUGUAGCGGUGAAAUGCGUAGAUAUCAAGAGGAACACCUGAGGUGAAGACGGGUUGCUGGGCUGACACUGACGCUGAGGCGCGAAAGCCAGGGGAGCAAACGGG